UACGUAGGAGGCAAGCGUUGUCCGGAUUGACUGGGCGUAAAGCGCACGCAGGCGGCCGUGCACGUGGGGUGUGAAAGCUGGCGGCUUAACUGCCAGACGCCACCGCAUACGGCACGGCUCGAGCCCGGGAGAGGUCCACGGAAUUGCCGGUGUAGUGGUGAAAUGCGUAGAGAUCGGCAGGAACACCCAGGGGGAAACCAGUGGACUGGCACGGUGCUGACGCUCAGGUGCGAAAGCGUGGGGAGCGAACCGG
RNAcentral lists this ribosomal RNA (253 nucleotides) under uncultured bacterium. RNAcentral's name for it is "partial 16S ribosomal RNA". It matches the Rfam family "Bacterial small subunit ribosomal RNA", at positions 524 to 776 of the family's 1533-position model. The record is from RNAcentral.